GUGGGGAAUCUUAGACAAUGGGCGCAAGCCUGAUCUAGCCAUGCCGCGUGAGCGAUGAAGGCCUUAGGGUUGUAAAGCUCUUUCGCUGGGGAAGAUAAUGACUGUAUCCAGUAAAGAAGCCCCGGCUAACUCCGUGCCAGCAGCCGCGGUAAUACGGAGGGGGCUAGCGUUGUUCGGAAUUACUGGGCGUAAAGCGCGCGUAGGCGGAUUGGAAAGUUGGGGGUGAAAUCCCGGGGCUCAACCUCGGAACUGCCUUCAAAACUCCCAGUCUUGAGUUCGAGAGAGGUGAGUGGAAUUCCGAGUGUAGAGGUGAAAUUCGUAGAUAUUCGGAGGAACACCAGUGGCGAAGGCGGCUCACUGGCUCGAUACUGACGCUGAGGUGCGAAAGCGUGGGGAGCAAACAGGAUUAGAAACCCGGGUAGUCC
RNAcentral lists this ribosomal RNA (425 nucleotides) under uncultured bacterium. RNAcentral describes it as "partial 16S ribosomal RNA". It matches the Rfam family "Bacterial small subunit ribosomal RNA", at positions 354 to 796 of the family's 1533-position model. The record is from RNAcentral.